RNAcentral lists this transfer RNA (73 nucleotides) under Marmota monax (woodchuck). RNAcentral's name for it is "tRNA.Val". The record is from RNAcentral. Lineage: Eukaryota; Metazoa; Chordata; Mammalia; Rodentia; Sciuridae.
UGAGGCUGUAGCACAGUGGUGAAGUGCUUUCCUCACAUGGAUGAGGUGCUGGGUUCAAUCCUCAGCACCACAA